CCUAAAAGAGAAAGCUCACCCCACCGACGGGUUGAUGAUUCUGAAGGCAGCAAAAGGAUAAGAUGUUCAUUGUCAGACCUUCCAGAGGACAUCUGGCAUCAUAUACAUUCCCUACUGCCAAUGCAAGAUGCUGCCCGUACCGCGUGUGUUUCUCACUUCUUUCUGCGCUCCUGGAGAUCCCAUCCCAAUCUCACCUUCACGAAUGAAAUGAUGUGCUGUAAAAGAAAUCUAAAAACAGCGGGACCGGAUAUUAUUAGAGACCACAACAACAAAAUUGACCGUGCUCUAAUGAAACACUCAGGCACUGGCGUGAAGAAAUUCAGGCUUGAAUACUUUGUUCCUUGUAAUGCAGAACCAUAUCAUCAUCUCAAUAGUUGGCUUCAGAUUGCUGUUACACCAAUGAUUCAAGAACUCAACCUUGUAGUAUGGCGAAGAAACAAAAAGCCAACGUUUAGCUUCCCAUGCACACUUCUAUCUGACAGGUGCCGAGACUCGAUUCAGAAUAUCCGCCUUGCCAAUUGUGUAUUACGUCCCACGUGUCAACUUGGCUUGCCAAGCUUGAAAACGCUUGAUCUGCAUAAUGUGUAUAUUACAGGGGAUGAGUUAGGGUGCCUUCUCUCCAAUUCCUUCGCUUUGGAACAGUUGAAGCUUGUAUUCUGUCAUGAUAUAAUUCACCUCGAGAUACCUUGCCUGCUGCAGCGUUUCAGUUUCUUGGAGGUGCUUGCAUGCUCGAGCCUUGAAGUGAUUCAGAAUAAAGCUCCAAAUCUCUCCAGAUUUUGGUUUACAGGUAAUCAAGUGCAAAUCUCACUUGGAGAUUCCCUGAACGUGAAGAACCUGAAGUUGGACCAUAGCUGUUCCAUCAGUUAUGCUAUUGACACCCUUCCUUCCGGUGUGCCCAACCUUGAGACACUAACCAUAAAUUCCACUCGUGAGAUAGCCAAUGCACCAAUGGCAUCUAGCAAAUUCCUCCACCUCAAGGUCUUGUGUAUUAAUAUUUUUGGAAGCAAUUUCCACCGGGACUACGAUUAUUUAUCGUUUGUUUCUUUUUUUGAUGCUUCUCCUUCCCUGGAGACUUUUCGCUUAUAUGUAGGUAGGCAGUUCAACUAUGACUCGUUUGAGGGAGAUUCCUCAUCCCUGAGGCGAAUUCCAGAACACCGCCAUGGCAACCUCAAGAGUGUGAAGAUCACCGGUUUCUGCCCCCAAAAGAGCAUGCUUGAGCUAACACGUGAUAUUCUUCAGAAUGCAGCAUCACUUGAGCGCCUUACAUUGGACGCUAGUCCUGUAAAUUACCGGUGUUCUGGUAAUAUACUGGGCAGCAAAUGCUUUCCAAUGCAAACUGCAUAUAUAAGGGAGGCACAUAAAUCAAUCUUGGCUGUGAGAACAUACAUUGAGAGCAAAGUUCCCUCUAAAGUCAAGUUAAAUGUUCUGGAGCCUUGCAGCCGGUGUCACCCUUUGUGA
RNAcentral lists this ribosomal RNA (1458 nucleotides) under Triticum aestivum (bread wheat). Its description in RNAcentral is "partial small subunit ribosomal RNA". The record is from RNAcentral. Lineage: Eukaryota; Viridiplantae; Streptophyta; Magnoliopsida; Poales; Poaceae.